This 23-nucleotide small nuclear RNA is filed under the name Arabidopsis thaliana (thale cress). RNAcentral describes it as "snRNA_01472". The record is from RNAcentral. Lineage: Eukaryota; Viridiplantae; Streptophyta; Magnoliopsida; Brassicales; Brassicaceae.
UUUCUAAACAUUAUUAUUAUGUU